GACGAACGCUGGCGGCGUGCUUAACACAUGCAAGUCGAACGAAGAGCGAUGGAAGCUUGCUUCUAUCAAUCUUAGUGGCGAACGGGUGAGUAACGCGUAAUCAACCUGCCCUUCAGAGGGGGACAACAGUUGGAAACGACUGCUAAUACCGCAUACGAUCUAAUCUCGGCAUCGAGGAUGGAUGAAAGGUGGCCUCUAUGUAUAAGCUAUCACUGAAGGAGGGGAUUGCGUCUGAUUAGCUAGUUGGAGGGGUAACGGCCCACCAAGGCGAUGAUCAGUAGCCGGUCUGAGAGGAUGAACGGCCACAUUGGGACUGAGACACGGCCCAGACUCCUACGGGAGGCAGCAGUGGGGAAUCUUCCGCAAUGGACGAAAGUCUGACGGAGCAACGCCGCGUGAGUGAUGACGGCCUUCGGGUUGUAAAGCUCUGUUAAUCGGGACGAAAGGCCUUCUUGCGAACAGUUAGAAGGAUU
RNAcentral lists this ribosomal RNA (473 nucleotides) under Veillonella dispar. Its description in RNAcentral is "bacterial SSU rRNA". It matches the Rfam family "Bacterial small subunit ribosomal RNA", at positions 28 to 477 of the family's 1533-position model. Lineage: Bacteria; Bacillati; Bacillota; Negativicutes; Veillonellales; Veillonellaceae. The record is from RNAcentral.